This 775-nucleotide ribosomal RNA is filed under the name uncultured Neocallimastigales. RNAcentral's name for it is "partial large subunit ribosomal RNA". It matches the Rfam family "Eukaryotic large subunit ribosomal RNA", at positions 23 to 644 of the family's 3401-position model. The record is from RNAcentral. Lineage: Eukaryota; Fungi; Neocallimastigomycota; Neocallimastigomycetes; Neocallimastigales.
AGAGAGAGACAUGCGCGCAUAUCAAUAAGCGGAGGAAAAGAAACUAACAAGGAUUCCCUUAGUAACGGCGAGUGAAGCGGGAAGAGCUCAAAUUUGAAAUCUUCAAGGUUCUACCUUGACGAACUGUAGUUUAUAGAAGUGUUUUCUGUUAGUGGAGUGGCAAAAGUUCUUUGGAAUAGGACAUCAUAGAGGGUGAGAAUCCCGUAUUUGGUCAUUCCUCCUAGCGUUGUGAUACACUUUCAACGAGUCGGAUUGUUUGGGAAUGCAGUCCAAAAUGGGUGGUAAAUUUCAUCUAAAGCUAAAUAUUGGCGAGAGACCGAUAGCGAACAAGUACCGUGAGGGAAAGAUGAAAAGAACUUUGAAAAGAGAGUUAAACAGUACGUGAAAUUGUCAAAAGGGAAGCGUUUGACACCAGUGUUGUUUUUCCGAAAAUCAAUUACGAAUGUUUUAGUUUUUGAGGAGUUAUGACUUCAUCGGCUUGCUCCUUUCUUUAUGAAACUUUCUUAAUGCACUUUUCGGUUAACAAGUCAACAUCAAUUUCUUUUGUUGUAAAAGGGUAUGAGGAAGGUGGCUUUCUUUUCGGAGAAAGUGUUUAUAGCCUUGUGCCUCUGCAAUCGGAGAGAUUGAGGUCUGCAGCGUAGAUCCUUCGGGGUUAGAUACGUUUGUGCUAAGUUAUAGCUUUUCAUAGACAACUUGUUGACUAUGUUUAGUCUUGUAGCUUACUCGCUGAUGCUAUUUUACCUACGCUUAGGAUGUUGAUAGUCACAGCGUGUAC